This 473-nucleotide ribosomal RNA is filed under the name uncultured archaeon. RNAcentral describes it as "bacterial SSU rRNA". It matches the Rfam family "Archaeal small subunit ribosomal RNA", at positions 351 to 824 of the family's 1478-position model. The record is from RNAcentral.
UACAAUGCUGGCAACAGCGAUAAGGGAACCUCGAGUGCCAGGUUACAAAUCUGGCUGUCGUGAUGCCUAAAAAGCAUUGCAUAGCAAGGGCCGGGCAAGACCGGUGCCAGCCGCCGCGGUAACACCGGCGGCUCGAGUGGUAACCGUUAUUAUUGGGUCUAAAGGGUCUGUAGCCGGCCGGAUAAGUCUCUUGGGAAAUCUGGCAGCUCAACUGUCAGGCUUUCAGGAGAUACUGUCUGGCUCGAGGCCGGGAGAGGUGAGAGGUACUUCAGGGGUAGGGGUGAAAUCUUGUAAUCCUUGAAGGACCACCAGUGGCGAAGGCGUCUCACCAGAACGGACCUGACGGCAAGGGACGAAAGCUAGGGGCACGAACCGGAUUAGAUACCCGGGUAGUCCUAGCCGUAAACGAUACUCGCUAGGUGUCGGCCACGGUGCGACCGUUGUCGGUGCCGUAGGGAAGCCGUGAAGCGAGC